RNAcentral lists this unclassified non-coding RNA (21 nucleotides) under Mus musculus (house mouse). Its description in RNAcentral is "oocyte_clustered_small_RNA7031". The record is from RNAcentral. Lineage: Eukaryota; Metazoa; Chordata; Mammalia; Rodentia; Muridae.
CUCCCGCUACUCGAUAGCCAA